This 460-nucleotide ribosomal RNA is filed under the name uncultured bacterium. Its description in RNAcentral is "SSU rRNA". It matches the Rfam family "Bacterial small subunit ribosomal RNA", at positions 26 to 518 of the family's 1533-position model. The record is from RNAcentral.
AGAAUCAACGCUGGCGGCGUGCCUAACACAUGCAAGUCGCACGAGAAAGGGACUUCGGUCCUAAGUACAGUGGCGCACGGGUGAGUAACACGUGAAUUAUCUACCUCCGAGUGGGGAAUAACUGAGAGAAAUCUUAGCUAAUACCGCAUAACACUUACGAGUCAAAGCAGCAAUGCGCUUGGAGAGGAGUUCGCGGCAGAUUAGUUAGUUGGCGGGGUAAUGGCCCACCAAGACGAUGAUCUGUAUCCGGCCUGAGAGGGCGCACGGACACACUGGAACUGAAACACGGUCCAGACUCCUACGGGAGGCAGCAGUGGGGAAUUUUGCGCAAUGGGGGAAACCCUGACGCAGCAACGCCGCGUGGAGGAUGAAAUAUCUUGGUAUGUAAACUCCUUUCGAUGGGGAAGAUAAUGGCGGUACCCAUAGAAGAAGCCCCGGCUAACUUCGCGCCAGCAGCCGC